Molecule: ribosomal RNA, 330 nt
Filed under: Mortierella armillariicola
Lineage: Eukaryota; Fungi; Mortierellomycota; Mortierellomycetes; Mortierellales; Mortierellaceae
Description: SSU rRNA
Rfam family: Eukaryotic small subunit ribosomal RNA
Source: RNAcentral
AUAGCGUAUAUUAAAGUUGUUGCAGUUAAAAAGCUCGUAGUUGAAUUUUAGGCCUGGUUGGACGGUCUGCUCUAGGGUUUGUACUGUCCUGACCGGGCCUUACCUUCUGGUGAGCUGUCGUGUUGUUUACUCAGCGCGGCAGGGAACCAGGACUUUUACUUUGAAAAAAUUAGAGUGUUUAAAGCAGGCAUUCGCUUGAAUACAUUAGCAUGGAAUAAUAGAAUAGGACUUUGGUUCUAUUUUGUUGGUUUCUAGGACCGAAGUAAUGAUUAAUAGGGACAGUCGGGGGCAUCAGUAUUCGAUUGUCAGAGGUGAAAUUCUUGGAUUUAU